CGCCUCUUGCAAUCCACAUAUAAGAGGUAACGCCUGCCCAGUGACCAUGUGUUCAACGGCCGCGGUAUUCUGACCGUGCAAAGGUAGCGUAAUCACUUGUCUUUUAAAUAAAGACUAGUAUGAAUGGCAUCACGAGAGUUCAACUGUCUCCCACACCCAAUCAGUGAAACUGAUCUCCCCGUGCAGAAGCGGGGAUAAAACCAUAAGACGAGAAGACCCCAUGGAGCUUUAAACUAAAGGCACUAGCCCCUAACUCACCCCCCAGGGUAAAACCAUUUUAACCGGCUAAAGUGACCUGUCGUUUUCGGUUGGGGCGACCACGGAGAAAAACAAAUCCUCCGAGAUGAAGGGGAUAACCCUUAGCCAAGACCAACAAUUCUAAGCAAUAGAACGUCUAACGCACUGAUCCAAUCAAAUUGAUCAACGAACCAAGUUACCCUGGGGAUAACAGCGCAAUCUAUUUUCAGAGUUCAUAUCGACAAAUAGGUUUACGACCUCGAUGUUGGAUCAGGGCCUCCUAGCGGUGCAGCCGCUGCUAAGGGUUCGUUUGUUCAACGAUUAAAGCCCUACGUGAUCUGAGUUCAGACCGGAGUAAUCCAGGUCAGUUUCUAUCUAU
Molecule: ribosomal RNA, 616 nt
Filed under: Bombina variegata (yellow-bellied toad)
Lineage: Eukaryota; Metazoa; Chordata; Amphibia; Anura; Bombinatoridae
Description: partial 16S ribosomal RNA
Rfam family: Bacterial large subunit ribosomal RNA
Source: RNAcentral